This 329-nucleotide small nuclear RNA is filed under the name Meriones unguiculatus (Mongolian gerbil). RNAcentral's name for it is "7SK RNA (ENSMUGG00000013867.1)". It matches the Rfam family "7SK RNA". Rfam says of the family: 7SK was discovered as an abundant small nuclear RNA in the mid-70s but a possible function has only recently been suggested. Two independent studies have found that 7SK RNA binds the CDK9/cyclin T complex (known as elongation factor P-TEFb). Lineage: Eukaryota; Metazoa; Chordata; Mammalia; Rodentia; Muridae. The record is from RNAcentral.
GAAUAAGAUAUGGAUGUGAUCCUCCUGAUCUCCAGGUAGAUUGGGAUGAUCUGGCUGGGUGAGUGAUUGUCUGCUUCCUUCCCUCUCCACGUUGUUUUGUUCCUGAAGAUGCAUGAUGAGUUGAAGAAGACAGCUUUGAGAAAUAGAAAUAGAGGAGAACCCAUCUUUCAUGAAGAGUGUUAAGUAGCUGUGUUCCCCUGUCAGAACACCCAAGCAAGUUUAUAUUAAUUCUUUGUUAUUAUUUUUUUUAACUGUGUGGUCAUAGGACUACCAGAGCUGACUCACCUUGUCCACCUUGUGAGUCCUUGUGACUGAACUUGGCUUGUCAG